Transfer RNA from Felis catus (domestic cat), 85 nucleotides. It matches the Rfam family "tRNA". Rfam says of the family: Transfer RNA (tRNA) molecules are approximately 80 nucleotides in length. Their secondary structure includes four short double-helical elements and three loops (D, anti-codon, and T loops). NCBI's taxonomy places the organism in Eukaryota, Metazoa, Chordata, Mammalia, Carnivora, Felidae. The record is from Rfam.
ACCUGGGUGGCUCAGUCGGUGAAGCGUCUGACUUUGGCUCAGGUCAUGAUCUCACAGUUCGUGGGUUCGAGCCCCGCGUCAGGCU